UCUCUCUCUCUCUCUCUCUCUCUCUCUCUCUCACUUCACCAGAACGAAAUUCUCUCUAGUUUGCUUGGGUGUACACACAUCUGGUCCACAGGGAAUCUGAAGACGGUCACACACGUACACCUCCCACAAGAUGUACAUAUUCCUUCCCCCCUUUUACCUACGCGCUUUUUUUUCUACUAAGCCAAACGUUCCUUUUUAUCAAGGUGUACACUACUGAUGCUGUUUGUUGUAUUGGGAACACAUAGCAAUAAAAAAAAAAUAAAAAUGAAAGAGG
RNAcentral lists this long non-coding RNA (274 nucleotides) under Rattus norvegicus (Norway rat). Its description in RNAcentral is "long non-coding RNA NONRATT009269". The record is from RNAcentral. Lineage: Eukaryota; Metazoa; Chordata; Mammalia; Rodentia; Muridae.